RNAcentral lists this transfer RNA (73 nucleotides) under Candidatus Woesearchaeota archaeon CG07_land_8_20_14_0_80_44_23. RNAcentral's name for it is "tRNA-Asp". It matches the Rfam family "tRNA". From Rfam's summary of the family: Transfer RNA (tRNA) molecules are approximately 80 nucleotides in length. Their secondary structure includes four short double-helical elements and three loops (D, anti-codon, and T loops). The record is from RNAcentral. RNAcentral also lists the same sequence under 1 other name. Lineage: Archaea; Nanobdellati; Candidatus Woesearchaeota.
GCUCUGGUAGUGUAGCGGCCUAUCAUGGAGCCCUGUCACGGCUCCGACCCGGGUUCAAAUCCCGGCCAGGGCG